GGCGCAGUGGACGAACGGUAGAGUCACCUGCCUUUCAAGCAGGGCGUAUGCGGGUUCGAAUCCCGUCUGCGCUGC
RNAcentral lists this transfer RNA (75 nucleotides) under Actinomadura sp. NBRC 104412. RNAcentral's name for it is "tRNA-Glu". It matches the Rfam family "tRNA". Rfam says of the family: Transfer RNA (tRNA) molecules are approximately 80 nucleotides in length. Lineage: Bacteria; Bacillati; Actinomycetota; Actinomycetes; Streptosporangiales; Thermomonosporaceae. The record is from RNAcentral.